AACGAACGCUGGCGGCAGGCUUAACACAUGCAAGUCGAACGAGAUCUUCGGAUCUAGUGGCAGACGGGUGAGGAACACGUGGGAACAUCCCUUUCAGUUCGGAAUAACGUUGGGAAACUAACGCUAAUACCGGAUACGUCCUUCGGGAGAAAGAUUUAUCGCUGAAAGAUUGGCCCGCGUCUGAUUAGCUAGUUGGUGAGGUAACGGCUCACCAAGGCUACGAUCAGUAGCUGAUCUGAGAGGAUGAUCAGCCACAUUGGGACUGAGACACGGCCCAAACUCCUACGGGAGGCAGCAGUGGGGAAUAUUGGACAAUGGGCGCAAGCCUGAUCCAGCCAUGCCGCGUGAGUGAUGACGGCCUUCGGGUUGUAAAGCUCUUUUGUCCGGGAAGAUAAUGACUGUACCGGAAGAAUAAGCCCCGGCUAAAUACGUGCCAGCAGCCGCCGUAA
This 449-nucleotide ribosomal RNA is filed under the name uncultured bacterium. Its description in RNAcentral is "partial 16S ribosomal RNA". It matches the Rfam family "Bacterial small subunit ribosomal RNA", at positions 29 to 523 of the family's 1533-position model. The record is from RNAcentral.